GACAUAGGUGGCGAACGUUAUCCGGAAUUAUUGGGCGUAAAGGGUGCGUAGAUGGCAGAAUAAGUUACUGGUCGAUGCCAAACUCAAUUUGACGGAAGCUGGUAAUACUGUUCUGCUAGAGGGCAGGAGAGGUUGAUGGAAUUCCUGGUGUAGCGGUGAAAUGCGUAGAUAUCAGGAGGAACACCUGUGGCGAAAGCGGCUCACUGGACCAUAACUGACGCUGAUGCACGAAAGCUAGGGGAGCAAACAGG
Molecule: ribosomal RNA, 251 nt
Filed under: uncultured bacterium
Lineage: Bacteria
Description: partial 16S ribosomal RNA
Rfam family: Bacterial small subunit ribosomal RNA
Source: RNAcentral